Molecule: ribosomal RNA, 172 nt
Filed under: uncultured rumen bacterium
Lineage: Bacteria
Description: partial 16S ribosomal RNA
Rfam family: Bacterial small subunit ribosomal RNA
Source: RNAcentral
CCUACGGGAGGCAGCAGUGGGGAAUAUUGGGCAAUGGGCGAAAGCCUGACCCAGCAACGCCGCGUGAAGGAUGAAGGUCUUCGGAUUGUAAACUUCUUUGAUCAGGGACGAAACAAAUGACGGUACCUGAAGAACAAGCCACGGCUAACUACGUGCCAGCAGCCGCGGUAAU